RNAcentral lists this small nucleolar RNA (83 nucleotides) under Colletotrichum salicis. Lineage: Eukaryota; Fungi; Ascomycota; Sordariomycetes; Glomerellales; Glomerellaceae. The record is from RNAcentral.
CGACUAUGAUGAACAACCAUAUCAUUCAGUUCUGCUACUGAACACUGUGAUGAUAACCCCUAUACCAAAAAUUUGUCUGACAA